This 379-nucleotide ribosomal RNA is filed under the name uncultured bacterium. RNAcentral's name for it is "bacterial SSU rRNA". It matches the Rfam family "Bacterial small subunit ribosomal RNA", at positions 30 to 404 of the family's 1533-position model. The record is from RNAcentral.
AUUGAACGCUGGCGGCAGGCCUAACACAUGCAAGUCGAACGGUAACAGGAAGAAGCUUGCUUCUUUGCUGACGAGUGGCGGACGGGUGAGUAAUGUCUGGGAAACUGCCUGAUGGAGGGGGAUAACUACUGGAAACGGUAGCUAAUACCGCAUAACGUCGCAAGACCAAAAAAGGGGGACCUUCGGGCCUCUUGCCAUCGGAUGUGCCCAGAUGGGAUUAGCUAGUAGGUGGGUAACGGCUCACCUAGGCGACGAUCCCUAGCUGGUCUGAGAGGAUGACCAGCCACACUGGAACUGAGACACGGUCCAGACUCCUACGGGAGCAGCAGUGGGGAAUAUUGCACAAUGGGCGCAAGCCUGAUGCAGCCAUGCCGCGUGU